GUGAUCGAGCGACGCCGCGUGUGCGAUGAAGCCCUUCGGGGUGUAAAGCACUGUCAGUGGGAACGAAGGUCCUGGAGGUUCUCUUCUGGGACUUGACGGUACCCGCAGAGGAAGCACCGGCCAACUCCGUGCCAGCAGCCGCGGUAAUACGGAGGGUGCAAGCGUUGUUCGGAUUCAUUGGGCGUAAAGCGCGUGUAGGUGGUCUGGUAAGUCCGAUGUGAAAUCUUCACCGCUCAACGGGAAGGGGUCAUUGGAUACUGCCAGUCUUGAGGUCGUUAGAGGGAACCGGAAUUCCUGGUGUAGCGGUGGAAUGCGUAGAUAUCAGGAAGAACACCGAUUGCGAAGGCGGGUUCCUGGGGCGAUCCUGACACUGAGACGCGAAAGCUAGGGGAGCGAACGGGAUUAGAUACCCCGGUAGUCCUAGCCGUAAACGAU
RNAcentral lists this ribosomal RNA (435 nucleotides) under uncultured anaerobic ammonium-oxidizing bacterium. RNAcentral's name for it is "bacterial SSU rRNA". It matches the Rfam family "Bacterial small subunit ribosomal RNA", at positions 383 to 810 of the family's 1533-position model. The record is from RNAcentral.